GACGAACGCUGGCGGCGUGCCUAAUACAUGCAAGUAGAACGCUGAAGGAGGAGCUUGCUUCUCUGGAUGAGUUGCGAACGGGUGAGUAACGCGUUGGUAACCUGCCUGGUAGCGGGGGAUAACUAUUGGAAACGAUAGCUAAUACCGCAUAAGAGUAGAUGUUGCAUGACAUUUGCUUAAAAGGUGCAAUUGCAUCACUACCAGAUGGCCCUGCGUUGUAUUAGCUAGUUGGUGGGGUAACGGCUCACCAAGGCGACGAUACAUAGCCGACCUGAGAGGGUGAUCGGCCACACUGGGACUGAGACACGGCCCAGACUCCUACGGGAGGAAGCAGUAGGGAAUCUUCGGCAAUGGACGGAAGGCUGACCGAGCAACGCCGCGUGAGGGAAGAAGGUUGUCGGAUCGUAAAGCUCGGUUGUAAGAGAAGAACGAGUGUGAGAGUGGAAAGUUCACACUGUGACGGUAGCUUAACAGAAAGGGACGGCUAACUACGUG
This 495-nucleotide ribosomal RNA is filed under the name uncultured bacterium. RNAcentral describes it as "partial 16S ribosomal RNA". It matches the Rfam family "Bacterial small subunit ribosomal RNA", at positions 28 to 507 of the family's 1533-position model. The record is from RNAcentral.